This is a long non-coding RNA of Haliotis rubra (blacklip abalone), 869 nucleotides long. RefSeq lists it as uncharacterized. The transcript is spliced from 2 exons. The record is from RefSeq and is a predicted model, not a curated record. NCBI's taxonomy places the organism in Eukaryota, Metazoa, Mollusca, Gastropoda, Lepetellida, Haliotidae.
UGACUUGGAAGAAAUGUAAUAUUUUUUUUCCAGCAAUGGCUUCUCAAAAGAAAGCAUCAUUUGUAAAUGUCUCUUUAACAAACAUCAACCAACCAGAGGGCUUUCUGCCAUGCUGAGGAACACUGCAUACUAUAGAUCUGACUCAAGUAGUCCCUGCCAAAACGUCUGGGUUUCGUUGUUCAAAACAACCUUAGCGCUAAGACUACCUAACCUCUAUGUUAAGGUAUGGGAGUUACGAUCACCUUAGCGCUAAGAUCGUUUUGUAACUGUAGGAGUAUGUAAUUAUGUAUAAAAUGCAAGUGUAUUUUAAUUUGUAUUUUAAUCACUAAGUCUAGCCCUAGCUUAACCACUCAAUCUAACCUGCUUCACUUUCACAAUAGCACUGUCACCCUUGCGCUUACGUUGUCUAUUGUCUCUAUUGUCUUGCCCCACCCCCAGGCCCCUUAGUUUCAAUAGCAGGGUGUUUUGUGGGUCAGCUAUCAUUUUCACUUCAGUCUGUCUGGUCACUGGUCAUAGCUCACAACAGCUUAUAACAGGUGUGGCAAACAUAUUUCCUGACGUUUGUGACGUCAAAGGGGCACAGUGCCAUACACUCGGUGAGGGUUCCUUCUUAUUAUAUUGUAAAUAAUUAUGUUAUGUUCUUGUAUGAUUCUACACGUGUAUGUUGACAUAUAAACAUUAUAUACAUAUAUACACACAUGUCUGCUCUGUGACCUGGUUAAUCAUUAAUGAUUGUAUUGCUUAUAUAUGAUCGUAGUACUUACUGCUAAGCCUCACAUGUGUUGGCCCAUGAAGUAUUGUGGCGUAUUUUUAUGCAAUGUAUUUAUUUUCUUCAGUUAUUAUUGCCAUUAAACUGGCAUCUACAGAAA